RNAcentral lists this non-coding RNA (28 nucleotides) under Mus musculus (house mouse). Lineage: Eukaryota; Metazoa; Chordata; Mammalia; Rodentia; Muridae. The record is from RNAcentral.
UGAGGUUUCUGGGUCUCUUCAUUGUGCA